UCUCUGGGUUUCAAGUGUAGAUUAUACUUGCGACGUACUGAUUGGGCCUCAAGUCCUCCGCCAAAUGUCUGACAUAUAUAGGAAGAUGUGACGAACAUCAUGAUUUCUUUUGGCAAAUCUUCAUGAUUGGGAGGGUGAUAAUGUUGUUCCAUAUAGUGAUCUUCCCAUGAUUGAUCAGCAUGCGCUGUUUCAGCUUGAAAAUGUUGUACAGAACAUCAAAGACAGCUUCAAAAAUUAUCAAUUCUUCAAAAUUUUCCAGAUUUCUAUUUUGAUGCUGCCAAAGAUCGACUUUAUGUUGGGUAUGUUACUUUGCAUCAUAAAGAACUAUAUCUUUAGGUACUUUUUUUCUUACUUUACAUCAUAAAGAACUAAACAAUUCCUUGCGUGUGAUUCCUUUACCACCUAACUAUCAUUCUACAUUUUUUGGCACUAGGGAUGUUGCAAUAUUGAUGGUUAAUGAAUUUAGAUUCUGUUUGCCAUGUAGGUUUUCUGCAUUCAAUGUCUUAUGAUUUUCAAUUGUCAACCUAGUAUGGGACACCCUAUUUCUCAUUUUCCUUAUUGGCCUCUGCACUUUUAGCUAAAAUGUUGAUUCUGCUGUACCACA
Molecule: non-coding RNA, 604 nt
Organism: Camellia sinensis
Lineage: Eukaryota; Viridiplantae; Streptophyta; Magnoliopsida; Ericales; Theaceae
Source: RefSeq, a predicted model, not a curated record